Molecule: ribosomal RNA, 515 nt
Filed under: uncultured bacterium
Lineage: Bacteria
Description: partial 16S ribosomal RNA
Rfam family: Bacterial small subunit ribosomal RNA
Source: RNAcentral
GAUGAACGCUGGCGGCGUGCCUAAUACAUGCAAGUCGAGCGAAUGGAUUAAGAGCUUGCUCUUAUGAAGUUAGCGGCGGACGGGUGAGUAACACGUGGGUAACCUGCCCAUAAGACUGGGAUAACUCCGGGAAACCGGGGCUAAUACCGGAUAACAUUUUGAACCGCAUGGUUCGAAAUUGAAAGGCGGCUUCGGCUGUCACUUAUGGAUGGACCCGCGUCGCAUUAGCUAGUUGGUGAGGUAACGGCUCACCAAGGCAACGAUGCGUAGCCGACCUGGGAGGGUGAUCGGCCACACUGGGACUGAGAGAAGGCCCAGACGCCUACGGGAGGCAGCAGUAGGGAAUCUUCCGCAAUGGGCGAAAGUCUGACGGAGCAACGCCGCGUGAGUGAUGAAGGCUUUCGGGUCGUAAAACUCUGUUGUUAGGGAAGAACAAGUGCUAGUUGAAUAAGCUGGCACCUUGACGGUACCUAACCAGAAAGCCACGGCUAACUACGUGCCAGCCGCCGCGGUAA